AAAAAUUUAGUUAAAAAAUAACGUUAGUUUGUCAAACUAAAAUUAUCUUAAAAAUAAUUUUUA
RNAcentral lists this transfer RNA (63 nucleotides) under Nephus oblongosignatus. RNAcentral's name for it is "tRNA-Asp". Lineage: Eukaryota; Metazoa; Arthropoda; Insecta; Coleoptera; Coccinellidae. The record is from RNAcentral.